AACUUUCAACAACGGAUCUCUUGGCUCUCGCAUCGAUGAAGAACGCAGCGAAAUGCGAUAAGUAAUGUGAAUUGCAGAAUUCAGUGAAUCAUCGAAUCUUUGAACGCACCUUGCGCCCCUUGGCAUUCCGAGGGGCACGCCUGUUUGAGUGUCG
This 154-nucleotide ribosomal RNA is filed under the name Duportella tristicula. RNAcentral describes it as "5.8S ribosomal RNA". It matches the Rfam family "5.8S ribosomal RNA". From Rfam's summary of the family: 5.8S ribosomal RNA (5.8S rRNA) is a component of the large subunit of the eukaryotic ribosome. It is transcribed by RNA polymerase I as part of the 45S precursor that also contains 18S and 28S rRNA. RNAcentral also lists the same sequence under 3 other names. Lineage: Eukaryota; Fungi; Basidiomycota; Agaricomycetes; Russulales; Peniophoraceae. The record is from RNAcentral.